RNAcentral lists this long non-coding RNA (412 nucleotides) under Homo sapiens (human). Its description in RNAcentral is "HSALNT0236903". Lineage: Eukaryota; Metazoa; Chordata; Mammalia; Primates; Hominidae. The record is from RNAcentral.
GCUGAUUGCCAUCUCUCCUUCAUCUCAACAACCUGUACCACACUCACUGGAGCACUUCGCUUUGCAUCUUUAGUCGACCAGUUCAGAUAUAUACAACCUAUAAGGCCCUGCACUGAUGGAUCCGCUGGUGCCACCCAGAUCAAUAAACUGGCUCAUCUGAUCUUGUGGCCCCCAUCCAGGAACCAACUCAGAGCAAGAAGACAGCUUCAACUCCCUAUGCCUUCAUCUCUGAUACGACCUGUCAACACGCCCCACUCCCUGGCCCCCUACCUGCCAAAUUAUCCUUAAAAAAACUCCCAUCCCUAAAUUUUCCGGGAGAAUGAUUUGAGUAGUUAACUCUGGUCUCUCGUUCUGGCUCUGCAUGAAUUAAACUCUUUCUCUAUUGCAAUUCCUGUCUAGAUAAAUCGGCUCU